UACGUAGGGUGCAAGCGUUGUCCGGAAUUAUUGGGCGUAAAGAGCUCGUAGGCGGUUUGUUGCGUCGGCUGUGAAAUCCCGAGGCUCAACCUCGGGUCUGCAGUCGAUACGAGCAAACUAGAGUGUUGCAGGGGAGACUGGAAUUCCUGGUGUAGCGGUGAAAUGCGCAGAUAUCAGGAGGAACACCGGUGGCGAAGGCGGGUCUCUGGGCAACAACUGACGCUGAGGCGCGAGAGCGUGGGGAGCAAACAGG
RNAcentral lists this ribosomal RNA (253 nucleotides) under uncultured bacterium. Its description in RNAcentral is "partial 16S ribosomal RNA". It matches the Rfam family "Bacterial small subunit ribosomal RNA", at positions 524 to 776 of the family's 1533-position model. The record is from RNAcentral.